Long non-coding RNA from Bos taurus (domestic cattle), 893 nucleotides. The record is from Ensembl. Lineage: Eukaryota; Metazoa; Chordata; Mammalia; Artiodactyla; Bovidae.
GUAAAGAAUCCCUCUGCCAAUGUAGAAGUCACAGGAGACAUGGCUUCCAUCCCUGGGUUGGGAAUAUUUCCUGGAGGAGGAACUGGCAACCCACUCCAGUAUUCUUGCAUGGGAAAUUCCAUGAACAGAGGAGCCUGGUGGGCCACAGUCCACGGGGUUGCAAAGAGUCAGGCACGUCUGAGCAACUGAGCAUGCACACCGUAGCGGGGGCAUCCUGGGCUGACCUUGUGGCCCAGAAAUGUUUCCUCUUGAGCAGAAGCACAUCAGAGAGCAGGAAGCUAGGUGGAACCAAGUGUUGGACACAGGUGAAACGAGCCUGUGCGAUGAGAAAGUGAAGUUACGAACAUACAGGUCUAUCCUCAGCCUGGCAGCUGGUGGAGAGAAGAUGGCAUCUCAAUUGUGGACUUGGACGACUCAAUUCUUCAGGGGCCCAAAGUACACACCAGAUGCCACGUUUCCACGGCCUUUAGCAGCGUGAGAACUGUUAUUCUUUCAGAGGUCCUGGUAAGGAACAUAGAACUAAUAAGCCACCAGCAACCGGAAGAGUUCAGGAAAGGUCAAAAGGAGACACUAUGUGUCUGACUACCUCCCUGAAUCCUUCUCACUGGCAUCCAUCUUGGCUGAGUGAUGCAUGUGCCACCAGGAAGGACUCUGAUUCAGAAUGAUUGGCUAAAGACAACCUGGAAACUAAUGCCAUCAACAUAAAACCCAAGAUUGCGAGCCACAUGGCAAAGCAGUCCUCCUGGGCUUCCUUACCCCACUGCUUUCUGCCCGGGCGCCCCUUCCCAAUAAAAUCUCUUGCUUUGUCAGCGCAUGUGUCUCUUCAGACAAUUCAUUUCCGAGUGUUAGACAAGAGCCCACUUUCGGGCCCUGGAAGGGGUCCCCCCUCCUGC